CCAUAAAUAAAUAAUACCCUAUUAUAACAUUUGAAAUUUCGAUGAAUAGAACAAGUAAAAAGAGAUCCUUCCUACUUAUUAAAUGAAAUCAAGAAGAGGUAUCUAAAUUUACCAUAAUUAACGUGUGAGGGGAUGUCUGUCAACCAAGUAAGGCAAGAAAA
Capsicum annuum is the source of this 161-nucleotide long non-coding RNA. RefSeq lists it as uncharacterized. The transcript is spliced from 2 exons. Lineage: Eukaryota; Viridiplantae; Streptophyta; Magnoliopsida; Solanales; Solanaceae. The record is from RefSeq and is a predicted model, not a curated record.